RNAcentral lists this long non-coding RNA (597 nucleotides) under Zostera marina. RNAcentral describes it as "long non-coding RNA (ZMAR_LNC001951)". The record is from RNAcentral. Lineage: Eukaryota; Viridiplantae; Streptophyta; Magnoliopsida; Alismatales; Zosteraceae.
UUCAUUGUGGAAGUUUUCCUUCAAGCAGAAACUUUUGUGCUGAAAACAGAGAUUUACAUUUCUGGUAUACCACAAUCUUCAAAAUGUUUCAUUGCAAUUACAGAUUUGAUUUAAACUAUAUGAUGAUUUAAUAUUGCAAAAAGAGGGGGGAAGGUAAAAGGUUUGUUUUGACAUUUGAGACCUUCAGAGAAAUUUUAUGCAGGUACAGCUUGAGGCAUUUUGCUGGUUUUUAUUCCUUUUAUAGCUGCAAGCAAGACAAUGGUAAAUGAGAUAACUUGUUGUGAUUGGAUAUUGUGAAAAAUGUUAAGUAUAUAAAAGCAAGCAUUCUUGCCUUCAGCGUAAUCUUUGGCUCCAAAAACAGCAGAACCAGCAACAAGAGCAUUAGCCCCGGCUUCAAUAACCUGUGUGAAAAGUAUGAGUUUAUACGUAAUUCUUUGUGUAUAAUUAAUUGACCAUGAAUCCUAAAUUACGUUUCCCAUUAAUUUUGAUUCAAAAACCUGUUUACAAAUAGAUUUGUGGAAAAUUACUUUGUAUGCAUUUGAAGGAGUGACUCCACCAUCUACUUCAAUCCAUGGAUUCACACCCUGGAUAUAAAUA